UCUGCCCCCAGAGUUGCUAAUUAAGUAGGUCUUAAUUUCUGCUGAUCUGGGGACCACACUUUCAACUCUACUGCUUAGGCCAUCUUAGGAAGAUUUACAAAAAGAUACAAUUGUUAAAGAUAAAUUUGUCAUUCUUUCAAGCCACAAAUACAAAAAAAUAAAUAAGAAGAAACCCUGGCCAGAAACAAUUAAAGGAGGAAGAGUGGAAGUGAGAAGACCAAUUAGAAGGUUGUUGUGGGCUCCAGGCAAGUGAUGGUACCAGGUUGGACUAACGUGGGAUUGUGGAGAUGAGAAGGAAAGAAAAAAAGGAGUGAAGGAGAGGAAGAAAGAGGAAGAAGAAGAUGGAGAGAGAAUGGAAAUGUUGCUUUAUUCUUAAAAAAAAUGGGUAUUAAUAAUGGCUAAUCAAUAUUUCAUUUAAACCUAUGAGUAGGUGUGAUGUGGUAUUGACAAGAAUGUAUAUUUUGUGUAUUUAAAGUGGAGAGCUCUAUAAAUAUUUAUUAAGUUUACUUGUUCCAGAUCUGAGUUCGAGUCCUGGAUAUCCUUAUUAAUUUUCUGUCUCAUUGAGUCUAAGUCUCUAUGUAUCUGGGUGUUAGGAUCGUUAGCUCUUGUUGUUGCAUUGAUGCUUUUACCACUGUAUCUUUGUUGCUUUAAAACCUAUUUUAUCAGAUGCGAGAAUUGCAACUCCUGCUUUUUAUUUAUUUGUUUAUUUUUGCUCUCCAUUUGGUUGGUAAAUCUUUCUCCAUCCCUUUGUUUUGAGUCUUUGUGUAUCCUUGCAUGUGAAGUGGGUCUAAAUGUAGCAUACCAUUGGGUUUUGGCUGUAUCUUUUGAUUGGGGGAUUUAGUCAAUUGAAAUUUAGGAUUACUGCCAUUUGAUGUUAACUGGCUGUUUUAUCCAUUCAUUGAUGUAAAUUCUUCUUUAUGUUGAUGCUCUUUACUUUUUGGUAUAUUUUUAGAAAGGCUAAUACUGGUUGUUUCUUUCUGUGUGUAAUGCUUCUUUCAGAAGCUCUUGUAAAGCAGGCCUGGUGGUAAUAAAAUCUCUGA
Long non-coding RNA from Callithrix jacchus (white-tufted-ear marmoset), 1040 nucleotides. RefSeq lists it as uncharacterized. NCBI's taxonomy places the organism in Eukaryota, Metazoa, Chordata, Mammalia, Primates, Cebidae. The record is from RefSeq and is a predicted model, not a curated record.